RNAcentral lists this ribosomal RNA (208 nucleotides) under uncultured Alphaproteobacteria bacterium. Its description in RNAcentral is "partial 16S ribosomal RNA". It matches the Rfam family "Bacterial small subunit ribosomal RNA", at positions 568 to 775 of the family's 1533-position model. Lineage: Bacteria; Pseudomonadati; Pseudomonadota; Alphaproteobacteria. The record is from RNAcentral.
CGCGUAGGCGGAUCAGCAAGUUAGGGGUGAAAUCCCGGGGCUCAACCCCGGAACUGCCCUUAAAACUGCUGGUCUUGAGUUCGAGAGAGGUGAGUGGAAUUCCGAGUGUAGAGGUGAAAUUCGUAGAUAUUCGGAGGAACACCAGUGGCGAAGGCGGCUCACUGGCUCGAUACUGACGCUGAGGUGCGAAAGCGUGGGGAGCAAACAG